CCCUUAGAUGUUCUGGGCCGCACGCGCGCUACAAUGAUGAAUUCAACGAGUUUAUAACCUUGGUUGAAAAGCCUGGGUAAUCUUUUGAACUUUCGUCGUGAUGGGGCUAGACCCUUGCAAUUAUCGGUCUCCAACGAGGAAUUCCUAGUAAACGCAAGUCAUCAGCUUGCAUUGAUUACGUCCCUGCCCUUUGUACACACCGCCCGUCGCACCUACCGAUUGAAUGGUCCGGUGAAAUCUUCGGAUUGAGACUUUGAUUUCUUCACGGAAAACGCUGUUUUAAGAAGUUGAUUAAACCUUACCAUUUAGAGGAAGGUGAAGUCGUAACA
RNAcentral lists this ribosomal RNA (329 nucleotides) under uncultured eukaryote. RNAcentral describes it as "partial 18S ribosomal RNA". It matches the Rfam family "Eukaryotic small subunit ribosomal RNA", at positions 1470 to 1796 of the family's 1831-position model. The record is from RNAcentral.